UUGUUGGUGAGGUAAAGGCUUACCAAGGCUUCGAUCAGUAGCUGGUCUGAGAGGACGACCAGCCACACUGGGACUGAGACACGGCCCAGACUCCUACGGGAGGCAGCAGUGGGGAAUUUUGGACAAUGGGGGAAACCCUGAUCCAGCCAUGCCGCGUGAGUGAAGAAGGCRUUCGUUGUAAAGCUCUUUCAGCCGGAACGAAACGGUUACGAUUAAUACCUGUAACUACUGACGGUACCGGAAGAAGAAGCACCGGCUAACUACGUGCCAGCAGCCGCGGUAAUACGUAGGGUGCGAGCGUUAAUCGGAAUUACUGGGCGUAAAGCGUGCGCAGGUGGUUUUGUAAGUCAGAUGUGAAAUCCCCGGGCUUAACCUGGGAACUGCGUUUGAAACUACAAGGCUAGAGUGUGGCAGAGGGGGGUGGAAUUCCGCGUGUAGCAGUGAAAUGCGUAGAGAUGUGGAGGAACACCGAUGGCGAAGGCAGCCCCCUGGAUCAACACUGACGCUCAGGCACGAAAGCAUGGGGAGCAAACAGGAUUAGAUACCCUGGUAGUCCAUGCCCUAAACGAUGUCAACUAGUUGUCGGGUCUUAACGGGCUUGGUAACGUAGCUAACGCGUGAAGUUGACCGCCUGGGGAGUACGAUCGCAAGAUUAAAACUCAAAGGAAUUGACGGGGACCCGCACAAGCGGUGGAUUAUGUGGAUUAAUUCGAUGCAACGCGAAAAACCUUACCUACCCUUGACAUGUAUUGGAGCCCGCAGAGAUGUGGGUGUGCCCGAAAGGGAACGAUAACACAGGUGCUGCAUGGCUGCCGUCAGCUCGUGUCGUGAGAUGUUGGGUUAAGUCCCGCAACGAGCGCAACCCUUGUCAUUAAUUGCCAUCAUUUAGUUGGGCACUUUAAUGAGACCGCCGG
Molecule: ribosomal RNA, 914 nt
Filed under: uncultured bacterium
Lineage: Bacteria
Description: bacterial SSU rRNA
Rfam family: Bacterial small subunit ribosomal RNA
Source: RNAcentral